Molecule: long non-coding RNA, 919 nt
Organism: Rhincodon typus (whale shark)
Lineage: Eukaryota; Metazoa; Chordata; Chondrichthyes; Orectolobiformes; Rhincodontidae
Exons: 7
Source: RefSeq, a predicted model, not a curated record
UCUUAAACUCCUCUGAUUGGGUGCUGAGCUCACCUCCCAUCCACUCACAUUGACUAAAAUGUGUUGCCAGAGCGGUGAAUUAUCAGGAUCCUGGCAGUCCUUUGAAAAUUCGACCCUUGCGAUUCGGAUUGACGUUAUAAUAAUUUUUCAUUUUGGACAUACUCGUUAACCCUUUGUUUAAAAAAAAGGGUUUAUUUAAGGUGUUUGCAGUUUCUCCGGCAAGGUCCGGAAUAGGCUAUUGCAACCUUCCUUCAGAUAGAAGCAAACCCAAAGGCGGUGACGACAUCCCGGCAUGCCUACCUUGAAGAAGUUCUGCUCCUCUGACAGGAGUUCUGUUCCAGUCUUUUCUCUUGUCCACCGUCAUUAAUUUUGCUGUCCUGGUGUUUGACAAGAUCCAAUCAUUGGGCAUUUGUACAAGGAGCUGGAGGGACAACAGCAGGCACCUUUGGAACUAAAUGGCAGGAGAGGCUCCUUUUGUAGGAGGGGGCAUAUUCUAAGUUCAAAGUAUACAUUUAAAGGUUUGGAAGCUGUGGACACCAGUAGCAUACUAGAACUUCAAGGGAGAUACCUGAGAACCACCAUCUUGCCAGCCCCGGCACUGGAAGGAGAGAGGAGAUUAACAGCACAGCCCUGAUAAAGAUGCCCUAUGACUUGAUCUGACAGGCAGAGCCAUCAUCUCAUAUACUGUUACUGCAAUUAUUGAAAAGCCAUCAGCUCACGACUACCCUGAGGGACGCUGAUCACCAUAUACACUCGCAUGUACAUCACGUGGAGCAGGGCAAGGAGCUCGGAGGCUACCAUUCUAGGACAAACACAGCCUCUGGAAAAUGGGAACUUAAGCUGGAUGUUUGGCUUUGAGAGUUAAUUAACAUAGUUUAGUCCCUCUAAAUCUUUGUAAUAGAUGAAUACCCUUUGCAAA